CUCACCAUCUGCUUCCACUAUUGUAAACCUGUGAUUAGCAAUGGUGAAGAAGCUCUCCAUGUUUAUGCCUGCGUUAAUCAGCCUGAGCAGUGAAUCGUCGUAUUAUACGGGGUCCUGUUGGUAACUGUAACAAUAACUCUGUCAUCUUCUUGAGCUCUGAUCGCUGGACCAGGGAACUUCCCAUUGAUCGUCACAAUCUCAUUGGUCUGACAUAGCCUGAAUCUAGUAGCACUGCUCCUCCCCGCAACAGUCAUCACGUGAAGAAGGAACAAGAGAGGGAUAAGAUGGAGAAAGGACGGAAUGGCUGGAUUGGUCAUCUUCAUGAAAGAGAGAGAUUUAAGGUGAAAGCUACCAAUUCUGCAAACGGUACUUAUAAGGUGUUGGGAGGGCGUGAUUUGCUCCUUGACCCCAGCGUGAGAAGAAAGGAUUUGGGCAUCCACACGGGUUUCUUCCUUUCCAAUUCAGUAAAGAAAAUACAUUUCGAUGCACCAAACUCUCUGAGAAAACGCCAACACAGACAGAAACCUCUGAUACCCACUUCUCCAAGCUCUGUGGAACUGAACUCGGUACGCAUUUUCUGCUCUGUCUCGUUCAUCAAUCUCAUUGAAAACUAGAUUUGGUUUCGAGAUUUGGCUUGCCUGGUGUAUUGAUUGUUACGCAAGGCGCAUGAUUCGCCAUCAUUAGGGAGCGUUGAGUCAUUUAUAGAGUGAAAAAAAAAAUUAGAAGGGAAAAAAGGAUUUUCCUUUCCAUUACA
Molecule: long non-coding RNA, 754 nt
Organism: Tarenaya hassleriana
Lineage: Eukaryota; Viridiplantae; Streptophyta; Magnoliopsida; Brassicales; Cleomaceae
Exons: 4
Source: RefSeq, a predicted model, not a curated record